GCCAGUGUGGUGUUGCGGUUUGAGUGUUGGACUAUGACUCUGGAGACCAAGGUUCAAUUCCCAGCUCAGUCA
This is a non-coding RNA of Phrynosoma platyrhinos (Desert horned lizard), 72 nucleotides long. The record is from the annotation of a GenBank genome assembly. NCBI's taxonomy places the organism in Eukaryota, Metazoa, Chordata, Lepidosauria, Squamata, Phrynosomatidae.